AUUGAACGCUGGCGGCAUGCCUUACACAUGCAAGUCGAACGGCAGCACGGGAGCAAUCCUGGUGGCGAGUGGCGAACGGGUGAGUAGAGUAUCGGAACGUGCCCAGUCGUGGGGGAUAACGUAGCGAAAGUUACGCUAAUACCGCAUACGAUCUAUGGAUGAAAGCGGGGGAUUGCAAGACCUUGCGCGAUUGGAGCGGCCGAUAUCAGAUUAGGUAGUUGGUGGGGUAAAGGCCCACCAAGCCGACGAUCUGUAGCUGGUCUGAGAGGACGACCAGCCACACUGGGACUGAGACACGGCCCAGACUCCUACGGGAGGCAGCAGUGGGGAAUUUUGGACAAUGGGCGAAAGCCUGAUCCAGCCAUGCCGCGUGCAGGAUGAAGGCCUUCGGGUUGUAAACUGCUUUUGUACGGAACGAAAAGGACUGCCCUAAUACGGUGGUCCCAUGACGGUACCGUAAGAAUAAGCACCGGCUAACUACGUGCCAGCCGCCGCAGUAA
RNAcentral lists this ribosomal RNA (500 nucleotides) under uncultured bacterium. RNAcentral's name for it is "partial 16S ribosomal RNA". It matches the Rfam family "Bacterial small subunit ribosomal RNA", at positions 30 to 523 of the family's 1533-position model. The record is from RNAcentral.